This is a non-coding RNA of Pelobates cultripes (western spadefoot toad), 312 nucleotides long. NCBI's taxonomy places the organism in Eukaryota, Metazoa, Chordata, Amphibia, Anura, Pelobatidae. The record is from the annotation of a GenBank genome assembly.
AAAUGAUAUUGCAGAGAAAAGUAAAUUGCAGUUUGCAUGUAAUAGCAGCUAUUCAGAUGCUGUAUUGUGGCAAUCUUUAUACACACAAUGUGAAAUUGCCAAUAGUGAAAUUGCCAAGAAAUUGUUUGUUAAUAAGAAAAAACAAAAGAUCAGAAAUGUUAUGAAACUAGUCUGUACUUACAAUGCAUUGAUUUGUAAACGAGAUGCAGGUCAAGACAAUUUAGAAUCAGCAGAUAAAGAAGUAGAUUUGAAUGGGUUAACAGAAGACAAAUCAGAUUUAAAUGAACAGUGUAACAAUGUAACAGAGAGAAC